RNAcentral lists this ribosomal RNA (412 nucleotides) under uncultured bacterium. RNAcentral's name for it is "bacterial SSU rRNA". It matches the Rfam family "Bacterial small subunit ribosomal RNA", at positions 917 to 1333 of the family's 1533-position model. The record is from RNAcentral.
GGGCCCGCACAAGCGGUGGAGCAUGUGGUUUAAUUCGAUGCAACGCGAAGAACCUUACCAGGACUUGACAUACUACGAAUCCUUUUGAGAAAAAGGAGUGCCUUCGGGAAUGUAGAUACAGGUGGUGCAUGGCUGUCGUCAGCUCGUGUCGUGAGAUGUUGGGUUAAGUCCCGCAACGAGCGCAACCCUUAUUUUUAGUUACCAAUUCGUUGGGUUCUCUAGAAAGACUGCCGGUGACAAACCGGAGGAAGGUGAGGAUGACGUCAAGUCAGCAUGCCCCUUAUGUCCUGGGCUACACACGUGCUACAAUGGUUAAGACAAAGAGUCGCGAGCUUGCAAAAGUCAGCUAAUCUCAUAAACUUAGCCUAAGUUCAGAUUGUAGGCUGCAACUCGCCUACGUGAAGGCGGAAUC